ACCUGGCUGGCUUAGCCAGUGGAGCAUGUGACUCUUGAUCUCAGAGCUGUAGGUUCGAGCCCCACAUUGGGUG
Ailuropoda melanoleuca (giant panda) is the source of this 73-nucleotide non-coding RNA. The record is from Rfam. Lineage: Eukaryota; Metazoa; Chordata; Mammalia; Carnivora; Ursidae.